Molecule: transfer RNA, 72 nt
Filed under: Phormidesmis sp. RL_2_1
Lineage: Bacteria; Bacillati; Cyanobacteriota; Cyanophyceae; Leptolyngbyales; Leptolyngbyaceae
Description: tRNA-Lys
Rfam family: tRNA
About the family: Transfer RNA (tRNA) molecules are approximately 80 nucleotides in length. Their secondary structure includes four short double-helical elements and three loops (D, anti-codon, and T loops). Further hydrogen bonds mediate the characteristic L-shaped molecular structure. tRNAs have two regions of fundamental functional importance: the anti-codon, which is responsible for specific mRNA codon recognition, and the 3' end, to which the tRNAs corresponding amino acid is attached (by aminoacyl-tRNA synthetases). tRNAs cope with the degeneracy of the genetic code in two manners: having more than one tRNA (with a specific anti-codon) for a particular amino acid; and 'wobble' base-pairing, i.e. permitting non-standard base-pairing at the 3rd anti-codon position.
Source: RNAcentral
GGGUUGUUAGCUCAGUGGUAAAGCAGCCGCCUCUUAAGCGGAAGACCGUGAGUUCGACUCUCACACAACCCA